GAUGAACGCUGGCGGUAUGCUUUACACAUGCAAGUCGUACGAGAAUUUUAAAUUCUAGUGGCGGACGGGUGAGUAACACGUAAGAAUUUACCUUUAGGAGGGGGACAACAACCGGAAACGGUUGCUAAUACCCCAUAUGCUUUCGAGUGAAAUGGAGUUUUCCGCCUAAAGAGAAGCUUGCGGCUGAUUAGCUUGUUGGUAAGGUAAUGGCUUACCAAGGCGACGAUCAGUAUCUGGUUUGAGAGGACGACCAGGCACACUGGAACUGAGACACGGUCCAG
RNAcentral lists this ribosomal RNA (281 nucleotides) under uncultured bacterium. RNAcentral's name for it is "partial 16S ribosomal RNA". It matches the Rfam family "Bacterial small subunit ribosomal RNA", at positions 28 to 334 of the family's 1533-position model. The record is from RNAcentral.